UACGGAGGGUGCAAGCGUUAAUCGGAAUUACUGGGCGUAAAGCGCACGCAGGCGGCUUGUUAAGUCAGAUGUGAAAGCCCCGGGCUCAACCUGGGAACUGCAUUUGAAACUGACAAGCUAGAGUCUUGUAGAGGGGGGUAGAAUUCCAGGUGUAGCGGUGAAAUGCGUAGAGAUCUGGAGGAAUACCGGUGGCGAAGGCGGCCCCCUGGACAGAGACUGACGCUCAGGUGCGAAAGCGUGGGGAGCUAACAGG
RNAcentral lists this ribosomal RNA (253 nucleotides) under uncultured bacterium. RNAcentral describes it as "partial 16S ribosomal RNA". It matches the Rfam family "Bacterial small subunit ribosomal RNA", at positions 524 to 776 of the family's 1533-position model. The record is from RNAcentral.